AAUAUUGGACAAUGGGCGAAAGCCCGAUCCAGCCAUGCCGCGUGUGUGAAGAAGGUCUUCGGAUUGUAAAGCACCUUAAUUUGGGGGGAAGGGCAGUAAGUUAAUACUUUGCUGUUAUGCCGUUACCGACAUAAUAAGCACCGGCGACCUACGUCCCAGCAGCCGCGGUAAUACGAAGGGGGCGAGCGUUGUCCGGAAUUACUGGGCGUAAAGCGCGCGCAGGUGGGUUGUUAAGUCAGGUGUCAAAAUGCGGGGCUCAACCCCGUACCGCACUUGAAACUGGCAGGCUUGAGUGCAGGAGAGGGAAGUGGAAUUCCUAGUGUAGCGGGGAAAUGCGUAGAUAUUAGGAGGAACACCAGUGGCGAAGGCGACUUCCUGGACUGUAACUGACACUGAGGCGCGAAAGCUAGGGGAGCAAAC
Molecule: ribosomal RNA, 420 nt
Filed under: uncultured bacterium
Lineage: Bacteria
Description: partial 16S ribosomal RNA
Rfam family: Bacterial small subunit ribosomal RNA
Source: RNAcentral